CCUACGGGUGGCAGCAGUGAGGAAUAUUGGUCAAUGGACGAGAGUCUGAACCAGCCAAGUAGCGUGAAGGAUGACUGCCCUAUGGGUUGUAAACUUCUUUUAUAUGGGAAUAAAACAGGGUAUGCAUACCCUCUUGUAUGUACCAUAUGAAUAAGGAUCGGCUAACUCCGUGCCAGCAGCCGCGGUAAUACGGAGGAUCCGAGCGUUAUCCGGAUUUAUUGGGUUUAAAGGGAGCGUAGGUGGAUUGUUAAGUCAGUUGUGAAAGUUUGCGGCUCAACCGUAAAAUUGCAGUUGAAACUGGCAGUAUUGAGUACGGUAGAGGUAGGCGGAAUUCGUGGUGUAGCGGUGAAAUGCUUAGAUAGCACGAAGAACUCCGAUUGCGAAGGCAGCUCACUGGACUACAACUGACACUGAUGCUCGAAAGUGUGGGUAGCAAACAGGAUGAGAUACCCGAGUAGUC
RNAcentral lists this ribosomal RNA (460 nucleotides) under uncultured bacterium. Its description in RNAcentral is "partial 16S ribosomal RNA". It matches the Rfam family "Bacterial small subunit ribosomal RNA", at positions 338 to 795 of the family's 1533-position model. The record is from RNAcentral.